Molecule: ribosomal RNA, 492 nt
Filed under: uncultured bacterium
Lineage: Bacteria
Description: partial 16S ribosomal RNA
Rfam family: Bacterial small subunit ribosomal RNA
Source: RNAcentral
AGUGAACGCUGGCGGUAGGCCUAACACAUGCAAGUCGAACGGCAGCACAGUAAGAGCUUGCUCUUACGGGUGGCGAGUGGCGGACGGGUGAGGAAUACAUCGGAAUCUACUUGUUCGUGGGGGAUAACGUAGGGAAACUUACGCUAAUACCGCAUACGACCUACGGGUGAAAGCAGGGGAUCUUCGGACCUUGCGCGACUGAAUGAGCCGAUGUCGGAUUAGCUAGUUGGCGGGGUAAAGGCCCACCAAGGCGACGAUCCGUAGCUGGUCUGAGAGGAUGAUCAGCCACACUGGAACUGAGACACGGUCCAGACUCCUACGGGAGGCAGCAGUGGGGAAUAUUGGACAAUGGGCGCAAGCCUGAUCCAGCCAUACCGCGUGGGUGAAGAAGGCCUUCGGGUUGUAAAGCCCUUUUGUUGGGAAAGAAAAGCAGCAGGUUAAUACCCCGCUGUUCUGACGGUACCCAAAGAAUAAGCACCGGCUAACUUCGUG